CCUCGGGGCGCAGCAGUGGGGAAUAUUGGACAAUGGGGGGAACCCUGAUCCAGCGACGCCGCGUGAGUGAAGAAGUAUUUCGGUAUGUAAAGCUCUAUCAGCAGGGAAGAAAGAAAUGACGGUACCUGACUAAGAAGCCCCGGCUAACUACGUGCCAGCAGCCGCGGUAAUACGUAGGGGGCAAGCGUUAUCCGGAUUUACUGGGUGUAAAGGGAGCGUAGACGGCAGUGCAAGUCUAAAGUGAAAGGCGGGGGCCCAACCCCCGGACUGCUUUGGAAACUGUGCUGCUGGAGUGCAGGAGAGGG
Molecule: ribosomal RNA, 305 nt
Filed under: uncultured bacterium
Lineage: Bacteria
Description: bacterial SSU rRNA
Rfam family: Bacterial small subunit ribosomal RNA
Source: RNAcentral